GUAAUUCUUGGUUUAUUAUUAGAUAUUUAUUUAUUUAUUUAUUUAGGUUUAAUUUCACACAUACCUUAAACCUAAACAUGAAAAAGAAUGGAAUCGCAAUUUUAAGGUCUUGGAAAUAUGGAUUAGUUUUAUUCGAACGUUGUAAAAAACCUUGCAACAAAAUCCUCCACCCUCCCCGAUUAGGUGAUGAAAUGAAAAUUAGGGGAUCAUCAGAAUGAUGAUUGCAAAAGUGUAUCAUUCUCUCUAUCAAUCUUAAAGAAAAAAAUUAAUUUCUAAAAAAAGGCGCAGAAAGAGAUAAUAAUUUUAUUCAGAACACGUGUAUGCAAUUCCCGAAAAUUUCAAUGCAAUUCUUGGUCUCUUCAA
RNAcentral lists this long non-coding RNA (363 nucleotides) under Polistes fuscatus (common paper wasp). RNAcentral describes it as "uncharacterized LOC122518724". Lineage: Eukaryota; Metazoa; Arthropoda; Insecta; Hymenoptera; Vespidae. The record is from RNAcentral.